Molecule: ribosomal RNA, 371 nt
Filed under: uncultured bacterium
Lineage: Bacteria
Description: bacterial SSU rRNA
Rfam family: Bacterial small subunit ribosomal RNA
Source: RNAcentral
GGAGGGGGCGAGCGUUAUUCGGAAUUAUUGGGCGUAAAGGGCGCGUAGGCGGCCCGGUAAGUCAAAGGUGAAAUCCCUCGGCUCAACUGAGGAACUGCCUUUGAAACUGUCGGGCUUGAGGCCGGGAGGGGGUAGCGGAAUUCCCAGUGUAGCGGUGAAAUGCGUAGAUAUUGGGAGGAACACCAGUGGCGAAGGCGGCUACCUGGACCGGUUCUGACGCUGAGGCGCGAAAGCGUGGGUAGCAAACAGGAUUAGAUACCCUGGUAGUCCACGCUGUAAACGAUGGGUGCUCGGUGUCGCGGGUAUCGACCCCUGCGGUGCCUUAGCUAACGCGUUAAGCACCCCGCCUGGGGAGUACGGUCGCAAGGCUG